AAGAGCCACAGCCCGCAAUUGCACAAAAGUCACACUCGCGAACGUAGUCGCAUAACGAGACCCACGGCCAACGAUGGAGGAGAAUAAGAAAAUCAAAACUAGAAAGUGAAGAAAGGUAAGAAAUUAGGAAUCGACCGUGGAUAAGAGAUGGGCACAAGACUCAACAUUGUGGAGGGGAUUCGACAGAUGGAGUUGCGGUGGAGCAAGAUGAAUGAGAGUGGACAACUAAUGAUGACAGUAUGAAUCAUUGAUUCUACGACAGAAAUUGAGAGGAAUUAGUCUCUGUGGGUGAGCAAGA
Molecule: unclassified non-coding RNA, 298 nt
Filed under: Hevea brasiliensis (rubber tree)
Lineage: Eukaryota; Viridiplantae; Streptophyta; Magnoliopsida; Malpighiales; Euphorbiaceae
Source: RNAcentral